UAAAAAAAAAAAAAUAAACUAAACUCAUAUUAAUGCAACAAAGAUGAGAACGAAAGCACAAUUUUAUAGAGGUAGAAAAUGAAAUUACUUAUAGAAAGUCAAUAGUAAAUAAAUCGAGAACAGAAAACCCAAUCCCAUUUCGUCAUUAUUCAAUCGAUAUUGCAUAUUUGGUUUUGGUGAUUUGUAUCGCCCACAAUAAUUAAUUUCUUUUUGUGCACAUAAAGUUUUAAAAAUAAUUAAAAUAAUAUGUAAUACGUUAACUCUUUAACAACGAUGAUACAUUUAAGAGAUCAACUUUUGUAUUUGUCAUUUUAUAAUCGAUAAAGAUCGUAGUGUUGCAAAAUAUUAAAAUUAUUUAAUAAAGAAGCAUUAGUAUAAAAACUCACUCGGUUAUCAUCUAGUCUUAUCAUAAUCAUCAAAACAAUCACAUAAUCGACUAUCUUUUCUGGUGUGGUUCGUAUAUAGGCAUCAAUAAAAGAAAGUGGCGACGACUGACAAAACCGAUAAUUGAUUUUGGACCACAAUAAAGUUAGAGACAUGUGAUUUCGAGAAAAUGGACCCUUUUUGCUUAUCAUACUGUUUUAAGUGCCUUGUUCUGUAUCCUCUUGCCACGAUGUGGUUAUGACAUGACAUUUACAUCUCUAUUGAGCUGUCGAGGUCGGAGUUUACUGUUCAAAUUAGGGUUUAACGGAGCCUGAGAAAUCACUAUUAUAAACAAAAAAGGCAAUAAGACGAAGUAUUGAUGACAAAAUCUUUGUAGGAAUGCCCUCUUUUUGGCAAAUUUAAAAGAGAGUACAGUUGUGUUAAAAAAAAAAAGAGUACAGUUUAAUUUUGGUGUUUAUUAAUUUAUAGAGUUAUUAAUUUACAAAAAAAAAUUUUAAAUUUUUUUAAAAUUUUUUUAGAAUACAUAUUCUCUAUAAAAUAUGAAAACCAUUGAUUUUACCGUGUAUACAUUAAUUAAAUUUUAGAAAUUUGACUUUUCUAUUUUUCUGUCAUAUCAUUUGGUGUAUAUGAAAUAUGCUUGAAUUUAAAUGUGGUUUUAGAUAAAAUUUUAAUAAAUAAUAUCAAAAUAUACUAAAUUGUUAAAAAAAUAUACAGAUGGUUCUAUUGUGAAUAUCUAUAUAUAUAAAAGAGUGUUUGGUUCACUCCUGGGGUGUCCACAUAGGCGGACACGUCACUAAUUCGUGCGAUGUCGUGCUGACACCUGUCCCCGAAUAAAAACGCGUCGUUUCAUUUAAGUUUGUUAUGGCGUGAGCUUUUGAUCGUAAUGUAUCCGUCUAUGCUAUUGGGCCUAAUUCAGAGUGUGCUGUCGGCCCAACCAGGCAAUACUGCUCGCAAAUCCUAAUCUGCCGUAUACGUGAAAACAUGUUUGUUCUUCGUUUCUGUUUGUUCGGCGGCGACGGCGACGGCGACGAUCGAGUUUCCUUGCUGUCUCGAAACGGAUUGCGGUAUGGAUUCUGUGUUUAAUCCCAUUAAAAACAUUGACGAUUGAGCUUCCUCAUGGUUUAUGAAACGGAUUGCGUCGGUAAGGCGGUGAGCUUUUUGGUAUAAAUAUGUCAGCAUUUCUCUUCUGAAAAUCGUGUUCUCUUCAUUCAUCUUCUAUUCAUAAGGCGUGGGAAGGUUUCACGACGGCCUCAAACGCUGAUCUGAUCGCUGAGCAGCAGAUUUGGGCUGCGGUUGAUCCUUAUGCCAAGAACGAAUGUUGUUUUGUCUUCUGUUAUUGUUGUUUCAGAAUGAAUGUUGUAUGCCGCCAGAAAUUAUAAACCAUUUGAUUCUUGAUUUUCUCAAUACAUGCUAGAUUGAAGCCUGUGUGUCUGUAUAUUUUUGUUCUAACUUUCCUAAAGAGUUUCUGAUUCAGAAAAUGAAGACUUUAAAGAGUACAAGGAGCAUGCUGAUAAUUUCAUGAAGAGUACCAACCUUCUCCAAGACGAGAUUUAAACACCUUCUAGCUUCUUUAUAAGCAUCUAUCUCCUCUCGGUGGGCAUCCAUGACCAAAUCUGCAGAUGCUACUCAAACGCUGAACUUAGAUUGAACUCACGCUGAAAUCAUUCCACAGUCGUACAUAUACGUGCAUGUCGCAGAUAUACAGACUCUCCAAUGAGACUAGAGCUUAACAUUUCUAUACCAGGAUCUAUGCAGAGCAUAUAACCCAAGUAGAUAUAAGAGAGAUUGAAAGAUAGAAAAUUACUUAACUAGCUGAAACUUGAUUCUUGGCUGAAGUUUUUUGGUUAAUUGUGGCUAAAUGCUUAGAUGAACUUUCUAAUUAUUAUCAUUUUUUUCUGAAACUUAUGGGUUCUAAAUCACGGUUACAUUUCAGGCUUGGAAGAUUGGGUACAUAUAAGUCCGAGAAGCUAAGAACUAUGGACCUACUUAACAUGUGAUCUACUUUUAUGCAACACAACAAGUUGAACAUCAGAGUGGUUUGGAACAACUUUUGCAUUAUGUGGUUUUUUUUUAUCAGCGUAUUAUGUGGUUUUAUGUUUUAAUAUUUUUGGUUCAAGAUGAAGUUUCAGUAAACUACUAAUAAAUUAAUACUCUGUAGAAUUCAUUUGGUUGA
Brassica napus (rape) is the source of this 2557-nucleotide long non-coding RNA. RefSeq lists it as uncharacterized. Lineage: Eukaryota; Viridiplantae; Streptophyta; Magnoliopsida; Brassicales; Brassicaceae. The record is from RefSeq and is a predicted model, not a curated record. The transcript has 2 exons.